UGGGGAAUAUUGCACAAUGGGCGCAAGCCUGAUGCAGCAACACCGCGUGAGGGACGACGGCCUUCGGGUUGUAAACCUCUUUUGGCAGGGAAGAAGCGAAAGUGACGGUACCUGCAGAAAAAGCACCGGCUAACUACGUGCCAGCAGCCGCGGUGAUACGUAGGGUGCAAGCGUUGUCCGGAAUUAUUGGGCGUAAAGAGCUCGUAGGCGGUUUGUCGCGUCUGCUGUGAAAACCCGAGGCUCAACCUCGGGCCUGCAGUGGGUACAGGCAAACUAGAGUGCGGUAGGGGAGAUUAGAAUUCCUGGUGGAGCGGUGGAAUGCGAAGAUAUCAGGAGGAACACCGAUGGCGAAGGCAGAUCUCUGGGCCGUAACCGACGCUGAGGAGCGAAAGCAUGGGGAGCGAAC
Molecule: ribosomal RNA, 406 nt
Filed under: uncultured bacterium
Lineage: Bacteria
Description: bacterial SSU rRNA
Rfam family: Bacterial small subunit ribosomal RNA
Source: RNAcentral